GCCCGGGUGGUGGAAUUGGCAUACACGCAGAGUUUAAGCCUCUGUGCCUUACGGCUUGCGGGUUCAAAUCCCGCCCCGGGUA
This 82-nucleotide transfer RNA is filed under the name bacterium. Its description in RNAcentral is "tRNA-Leu". It matches the Rfam family "tRNA". From Rfam's summary of the family: Transfer RNA (tRNA) molecules are approximately 80 nucleotides in length. Their secondary structure includes four short double-helical elements and three loops (D, anti-codon, and T loops). The record is from RNAcentral.